AAGGCAGCAUGGUGACUCAAGGGGUCUCCACCUUGGGGACCUGCUUCUUCCUCUGAAAUGGGUCUCUGUUUACAUGGAUUCAGGAGAACCAAACAUACCUCUGGAUCGAGCCUCAGGAGUCCUGGAUCCCCACACCCCCUUUGUAACUUGCCUCCUCAUAACCACACCCUAUUGCAGUGCUCUUCUCCCGAAGCAGGAAUAGCGGCCCAGCUCUGCAUUCUCUGUCGGCUGUCUCGAGCAUCGUGUGUAGAUAAAAACGAAGCAGGAGGCAGGGGUGAUGGAGGUGCCACCGUGAAAGGGCUGCGUGGCGAAGGCAUAGACUGCAGUAGUUGGAAAGGACUUCGGCGAUGCUCUAGUCAGUUUGAAGCCUGGAAUGGUACCUGGGUCUGGCGGUUCCUGGCUCAAGUUCAAUCUAAGGAGACCAGGGGCACCCAUCACUGCAGUUCCAGGACCAGGGGCGUCACUGGACUGGUGAAUUCGUCCUGGUGGGUGGAUGGGGUCCCCGUGGCUGAGCGGCACAUGUCCCAGCUGGACACUGUUUGCCAAGAGCCAAAAUGGAACUGACUCAGAGUUAAGCCCAUCCUCGAGACACCAAAUAAAAUAAAUGUUUUGAAAUCA
This is a long non-coding RNA of Myotis brandtii (Brandt's bat), 618 nucleotides long. RefSeq lists it as uncharacterized. The transcript is spliced from 2 exons. The record is from RefSeq and is a predicted model, not a curated record. Lineage: Eukaryota; Metazoa; Chordata; Mammalia; Chiroptera; Vespertilionidae.